GUUUAUCUCACUUAGUUGUCAUCCAAACCCCAUGAAAUGGGUACCUACUAUUUGGUAGAUGAGAAAAGUAGACAACAGAGAAGUUGAGUCUUUUGCUCAAGGUCACACAGCUAGAAAAUGUAAAGUCAAGGUUCCAAGUUUAGGGACUAGGAAUCUGUUUGCUUGCUUGCUUGCUUCUUGGCCUCAAAAUUUUUUUUACCAUUCCUCCCAUCAAGAGGUGGCUGCUUUAUGACUCUGCUCCUUGAAUCCAGGAAGGCUUCUAUAUUCUUUGACCACAAGGGAAAAGUGAAGGUGAUGCUGUGAGAUUUCAAAGGCUAGUUCACAAGGGCUCUGCAGCUUGCCUGGACUCUCUUGGAGCAUUUACAUCUUCCAGAGACUCCUUGGCCCCUCACCCAGCCACAUGGAGAGGCCACACAUAGAUCCUCAGGUCAACAGCCAUUGAGUUGUUCCACUUCAUACUCCAGACAUGUGAGAAAAGAAGCCUCCAAAUGGUUUCUGCCCCUAGUCAUUCAAGUCACCCACAACCAUCUGAGUCCUCUCAGCUGAGAGCUUACACAUCAUGGGUCAGAGACAAACCAUCAUCACUGUACCUUGCCUCAAUUUCUGACUCCCAGAAUUUGUGAGCUUAAUAAAAUGGUUGUUAUUUAUACCACUGAUUUGGGAUGGUAUAUUGUAUGACAAUAGUAAUUGGAACAAGGAACUUUCCGUAAACUUUAGACAUUCUGUAUGCAUGUGAUAACGUACAAUCCCACAAAGUUCCCCAGGCUCAUGGAGACCCCAUGAGUGCCAACUAGAUCCCUUGAAGUUACAGGGGAGCAGAAAGCCAGGACUCUGGCCAACUCUGAUCUGGGUUUUGUUUCAAAAACUCUGGCCUCAAUAAUUUUUCACUUUUUUCUAUUAGGAAUUUUCAGUAUCUAUUUCUACAUGGUACCUUGUCUAAAUCACACAAAGCAUCCUCAGUCCAUCUGACCCUUCCUGGAACCAUUGAGAUUUCUGCGUUCAUUCUUCUCAGUUCUAGUUUCCUGGUGGUCGAGUGGUUAGGACUUAGCAGUCUCAUUCUUCAUAUUCCUCCCUCUGGCCUGCAAAAGUAAAAAAAAAAAAAAA
RNAcentral lists this long non-coding RNA (1104 nucleotides) under Macaca fascicularis (crab-eating macaque). RNAcentral describes it as "lncRNA (ENSMFAG00000065674.1)". The record is from RNAcentral. Lineage: Eukaryota; Metazoa; Chordata; Mammalia; Primates; Cercopithecidae.